AACGCGAAAUUGGAGCUGGUCAACCGAGGUAUACGGUGUACCGACGAUAAGUGCGGCAGGUUCGAAUAUUUAUUUUUAUUUUUCCCCCAACACGUUGCGGGAAUUGAGUUACAGCCGAGACUCGAUGCUUUCGCGGCGGGUACCGAAAAUUCGAGAGGAUCAGUUUUUUUAUCGGAAAUUCUUCGAAGGGUGACGCCUUCGGUGUACGUCGUAGCGCGCUUCGCCUUUUUCUUGCUGCUUAAAUUUUAUACACGUGACGUCCAAUUAACUCCGAAGCGGAGCGAAUUCGACGAAUCUUAUCUAGCAAAUAUGCGUAAAAGACGAGAGUAGGUGACGAUCUGCCGUCGCGUGCACUUUGGGGGAACUGAAUAUUCACGUUGCGUUUCAUCGCGGUGUCGAUGAAAAAUCUCAAGUGUUAUUACGAGACGAGAUAUUCUUGUUUCAAAUAAAAGUUUGCGGUAAAUCGCAACCUCUCACAUCGUCAGCGAAUCCUCGCAGACUCGCAUUCGUAAGGAUGCAAUUUUGAAACUAAAGGAAGUAUAAAAUAAAGUACACGUUCACCAGUUUUAAUUAACGAAGAUAUUACGCCACGGCGGCGUUAAUCAAUGACUUUUGAUUACCUCGAAAAACAACCCUCAACAGGCCUAUAAACGAUAAUGUCCAGUCUAUAAAAUCAAUUUGAAAAACCAGAGCAUAACCUGGGAUUUUAUUAUCGGUAUACCGUAUAUAAUGUAUAAUAUAAAUGUUACCGCGAAACCGCUAGCGGGGAUUUCCUGCGAGUCUGUCCGAAGGGAAGAAAAGCAAAAGAAAAAAAAGAAGAAAAAAAAAACAACGCCAAAAAGGAGAAAGAAAAACAAAAGAAAUAUACAUCGAAUGAAAAAGUCAAGUUCGUUGAUGGCUUCGAUGGCCGAUGUAAAUAUCUUCUUAACUACGCGUAUCUCGAGCAAGGACUUAAAUUCUCAGUGACACGCAACGCCGCCGCAAAGACGCGACAACUUUGCGGCCACGUAGAGGUAUACGUAUAUAGCUGUUUCUCCGCUGCCGCUGCUGCUGCUGCUGCUGCUGCUGCUGCUGGUGGUGAUGCCGCCGUUGCACCUGUGAUUAUACUGCGGAGUCUGCGAGACGCAAUGAUUCCCCUAUUAUACCGCCUGCGCGAGGAUAUGUCUUCUCCACAAAAUUACAGUCAUUAAACUUGAAUUCUUCAAAGGGAUACCAUCGAGUGUGGGAUAUACGUAGUGGGAUAUAUAUGUAUACACACGAGAGUUAAGUACCGAGGUAACUCGUACAUGAAUUUCUACAGCAGCUUCUGUUAUCCCUGGAGCCGCGGCCGACAACCGUACGAAGAAGAAAUAGAUAUGGAGGCUAUUAGACUAUAAGGUACACCGCAGAUGCAUAUGAUAUAGAAAACAAGACGGGGUCCGCUAAGCUCACACUUAACCACCAGAGGCUCCGAAGGUGCUCGGAGUAGCCGUAGCCGUAGCCGUGCGGAUGUUUUAUCCGCGUAAACGUGAAAAAUGAACGAUGAAAAAUUAAAUAAAAUUCACCCACCUCGGUAAUUUCGCUAAAAGAAAACAAAAAAACAAAAAAAAAAAACAACUCACUGAAUUAUUACCGAUGCUAAUUAACUCUUGUAAUACGCGAAGUGCAUCUGCAAAGCUCCUCUGCACAAACGUCCAG
Athalia rosae (coleseed sawfly) is the source of this 1677-nucleotide long non-coding RNA. RefSeq lists it as uncharacterized. The record is from RefSeq and is a predicted model, not a curated record. NCBI's taxonomy places the organism in Eukaryota, Metazoa, Arthropoda, Insecta, Hymenoptera, Athaliidae. The transcript is spliced from 2 exons.